CGGCCUAGUCCAGGUUAGAUUCUUUCUUAACGAAAGAUAGAAAUAUUAAUACUGGUUCAAACGAAAGGUUAGUUUAUUAAUUUGUAUCAUUCCAUAUUACAAAGGAUCCCAUGAAAAUAAACAUAUCUUCAUAAGGGUCUCAUUCUGAAUUAAGUGGUUUGCAGUAAAAAAAUGUAUAUAAAAAGUUUGCCAAGACCUCCAAAAACAACAAAAAAUAAAAAUAAAAUUAUGAAAAGACAAUUAAAAAUCGCUGGCAAAAGUAGAAAUUUUUGUUUUCAAAAUCUAAUAUUGGUCAGGUGAGCUAUUGCUGUGUCAAUGAAUAGAAGCUCACAGAUUUCUUGAUAAUUAUGGUGAUUGUAGAUUGACGGGGGUGGAUUUAUGCAGUUUUAGCUUAAAACUUAAAUUUCUCGAUAAUUUUACUACAAAAUAUUUCUCGCCACGUUUUGCUUGGCAAGAUAUCUACAUUGCAGCCUCUCUAGAAGAAUAUUUCCAUAAUUUUGAUAAUUAUACCUCAAAAAAAUGUUUGCCUUGCUCUGCUCAGCAUAUAUUUCACUCCCUCCCCCCCCCCAAUCUAAAAUCCUGGAUCCGCCCCUGACCUCUCACUUGUAUGACAGUCACAUCAAAUUCCAUUAUAUUUACAAUGAUGCAUGAACAAAACAGACGUAAUAGGUAAAAUUGUCAAAAUUUGGGUACAGCAGUCAUCAAUCACUGUGAUAAGACCAUCGGUUUUCCUGUUUGAAUGUUUUUACACUAGUUAUUUUUGGGGCCCGUUAUAGCUUGCUUGGACCUAAACCUUACAUUUCCUUUUAUGCAUAUACACAUGUAGACAAAGUGACAGAACUAAAUUUAGUUCAAACUGAAAGUCUGCAUCUCAUAUCUUGAGUUUAUUAUAAAACAAUUAUAGUCAUAAAUGUAACAAAUGUUCAUAGUUUCCUGUUGAAAACACUUAUUUCUCAAAACAGUACAUAAAUUUGCAAGUUACAGAUCGUUUCAUUAACAAUUGAUUUCUAUUUUUUAAUCCAUAUUAUUCAUAUAACAGUCCAUCUUUAUUCCAAAUGGUAUUGCACUGCAAACUAAGAUGUCUUUCAAAUUGAAAACUUUCUCCAUUAAACCUGUUAAAGUUUGUUAUCGUUCAUCAAAUGGGAAGUGGAAGUUCUUUAACUUGUUCAUAACAUUCAUCAUACAAUUGUCGGUACUCAUCAUUUGGUUUAAUCAUCACCAUACAUGUCUGUCGCUUUGAACCACAUGCUGUUCCCAAAUCCUAAAAUAAAAUAAAAACAUAUUAAUUUUUAUUAAAAAAGUGUUGGAAUUAACAUUUAUAGAUUUGAGAUAAACUGUACUAUGAAAAAUAUAAAAGUUAGAACUGGUUCAUACUAAAA
This 1379-nucleotide long non-coding RNA is filed under the name Mytilus galloprovincialis (Mediterranean mussel). The record is from RNAcentral. Lineage: Eukaryota; Metazoa; Mollusca; Bivalvia; Mytilida; Mytilidae.